RNAcentral lists this ribosomal RNA (542 nucleotides) under Enterococcus faecalis. RNAcentral describes it as "bacterial LSU rRNA". It matches the Rfam family "Bacterial large subunit ribosomal RNA", at positions 1 to 543 of the family's 2925-position model. Lineage: Bacteria; Bacillati; Bacillota; Bacilli; Lactobacillales; Enterococcaceae. The record is from RNAcentral.
AGGUUAAGUGAAUAAGGGCGCACGGUGGAUGCCUUGGCACUAGGAGCCGAUGAAGGACGGGACUAACACCGAUAUGCUUUGGGGAGCUGUAAGUAAGCUAUGAUCCAGAGAUUUCCGAAUGGGGGAACCCAAUAUCUUUUAUAGGAUAUUACUUUUCAGUGAAUACAUAGCUGAUUAGAGGUAGACGCAGAGAACUGAAACAUCUUAGUACCUGCAGGAAGAGAAAGAAAAUUCGAUUCCCUGAGUAGCGGCGAGCGAAACGGGAAGAGCCCAAACCAACAAGCUUGCUUGUUGGGGUUGUAGGACUCCAAUAUGGUAGUCUGUUAGUAUAGUUGAAGGAUUUGGAAAAUUCCGCUAAAGAGGGUGAAAGCCCCGUAGACGAAAUGCUGACAACACCUAGGAGGAUCCUGAGUACGGCGGAACACGAGAAAUUCCGUCGGAAUCCGCGGGGACCAUCCCGCAAGGCUAAAUACUCCCUAGUGACCGAUAGUGAACCAGUACCGUGAGGGAAAGGUGAAAAGCACCCCGGAAGGGGAGUGAAA